GUAGUCCGCACCGUAAACGUUGUAUACUAGUUGUUGGUGGUUUCAACGCCAUCAGUGACGUCGCUAACGCAUUAAGUAUACCGCCUGGGGAGUAUGCUCGCAAGGGUGAAACUCAAAGAAAUUGACGGGGGCCCGCACAAGCGGUGGAGCAUGUGGUUUAAUUCGACGAUACGCGAGAAACCUUACCUGGGUUUGACAUGGAUUUGACUGGGGUAGAGAUACCCCUUCCCGCAAGGGCAGAUUCACAGGUGUUGCAUGGUCGUCGUCAGCUCGUGUUGUGAGAUGUUGGGUUAAGUCCCGCAACGAGCGCAACCCCUAUCUUCUGUUGCCAAUAUUAAGUUAGGCACUCUGAAGAAACCGCCGGUGACAAACCGGA
Molecule: ribosomal RNA, 376 nt
Filed under: uncultured bacterium
Lineage: Bacteria
Description: bacterial SSU rRNA
Rfam family: Bacterial small subunit ribosomal RNA
Source: RNAcentral